RNAcentral lists this ribosomal RNA (1250 nucleotides) under Salmonella enterica subsp. enterica serovar Oslo. RNAcentral describes it as "partial 23S ribosomal RNA". It matches the Rfam family "Bacterial large subunit ribosomal RNA", at positions 911 to 2141 of the family's 2925-position model. The record is from RNAcentral. Lineage: Bacteria; Pseudomonadati; Pseudomonadota; Gammaproteobacteria; Enterobacterales; Enterobacteriaceae.
UGUUUCGGCUAGGGGGCCAUCCCGGCUUACCAACCCGAUGCAAACUGCGAAUACCGGAGAAUGUUAUCACGGGAGACACACGGCGGGUGCUAACGUCCGUCGUGAAGAGGGAAACAACCCAGACCGCCAGCUAAGGUCCCAAAGUCAUGGUUAAGUGGGAAACGAUGUGGGAAGGCCCAGACAGCCAGGAUGUUGGCUUAGAAGCAGCCAUCAUUUAAAGAAAGCGUAAUAGCUCACUGGUCGAGUCGGCCUGCGCGGAAGAUGUAACGGGGCUAAACCAUGCACCGAAGCUGCGGCAGCGACGCUCAGGCGUUGUUGGGUAGGGGAGCGUUCUGUAAGCCUGUGAAGGUGGCCUGUGAGGGUUGCUGGAGGUAUCAGAAGUGCGAAUGCUGACAUAAGUAACGAUAAAGCGGGUGAAAAGCCCGCUCGCCGGAAGACCAAGGGUUCCUGUCCAACGUUAAUCGGGGCAGGGUGAGUCGACCCCUAAGGCGAGGCCGAAAGGCGUAGUCGAUGGGAAACGGGUUAAUAUUCCCGUACUUGGUGUUACUGCGAAGGGGGGACGGAGAAGGCUAUGUUGGCCGGGCGACGGUUGUCCCGGUUUAAGCGUGUAGGUGUGUGUUCCAGGUAAAUCCGGUUCACUUUAACACUGAGGCGUGACGACGAGGCACUACGGUGCUGAAGCAACAAAUGCCCUGCUUCCAGGAAAAGCCUCUAAGCAUCAGGUAACAUCAAAUCGUACCCCAAACCGACACAGGUGGUCAGGUAGAGAAUACCAAGGCGCUUGAGAGAACUCGGGUGAAGGAACUAGGCAAAAUGGUGCCGUAACUUCGGGAGAAGGCACGCUGACACGUAGGUGAAGUGAUUUACUCAUGGAGCUGAAGUCAGUCGAAGAUACCAGCUGGCUGCAACUGUUUAUUAAAAACACAGCACUGUGCAAACACGAAAGUGGACGUAUACGGUGUGACGCCUGCCCGGUGCCGGAAGGUUAAUUGAUGGGGUCAGCGCAAGCGAAGCUCCUGAUCGAAGCCCCGGUAAACGGCGGCCGUAACUAUAACGGUCCUAAGGUAGCGAAAUUCCUUGUCGGGUAAGUUCCGACCUGCACGAAUGGCGUAAUGAUGGCCAGGCUGUCUCCACCCGAGACUCAGUGAAAUUGAACUCGCUGUGAAGAUGCAGUGUACCCGCGGCAAGACGGAAAGACCCCGUGAACCUUUACUAUAGCUUGACACUGAACAUUGAGCCUUGAUGUGUAG